AGAGUUUGAUCCUGGCUCAGGAUGAACGCUGGCGGCGUGCCUAAUACAUGCAAGUCGUACGAGGGAAGUCCAGCUUGCUGGACGGAACGAGUGGCGAACGGGUGAGUAAUACGUAAGCAACCUGCCUGCAAGGACUGGGAUAACACCUGGAAACGGGCGCUAAUACCGGAUAGGUAACAAAGGGGCAUCCCUAUGUUAUUAAAGGUUAGAAACACAAGCAGAUGGGCUUACGGUGCAUUAGCUAGUUGGUGAGGUAACGGCCCACCAAGGCGAUGAUGCAUAGCCGGCCUGAGAGGGUGAACGGCCACAUUGGGACUGAGACACGGCCCAGACUCCUACGGGAGGCAGCAGUAGGGAAUUUUCGGCAAUGGACGAAAGUCUGACCGAGCAAACCGCCGCGUGAGUGAAGAAGGUUUUCGGAUUGUAAGGCUCUGUUGUAAGGGAAGAACAGCACGGAAAGAAUCCGUGAAUGACGGUACCUUACCAGAAAGCCACGGCUAACUACGUGCCAGCCGCCGC
Molecule: ribosomal RNA, 519 nt
Filed under: uncultured bacterium
Lineage: Bacteria
Description: bacterial SSU rRNA
Rfam family: Bacterial small subunit ribosomal RNA
Source: RNAcentral